CUGGUUGAUCCUGCCAGUAGUCAUAUGCUUGUCUCAAAGACUAAGCCAUGCAUGUCUAAGUAUAAGUAUUAUACAGCGAAACUGCGAAUGGCUCAUUAAAACAGUUAUAGUUUAUUUGAUAAUCGAAUUUACAUGGAUAACCGUAGUAAUUCUAGAGCUAAUACAUGCUGGUGUGCCCGACUUUUUGGAAGGGCGGUAUUUAUUAGAUAACAAGCCAAUAUUCCUCUGGUCUAUUGUGGUGACUCAUAAUAACUGAUCGAAUCGCAAGGCCUAUGGCCGCGAUAAGUCAUUCAAGUUUCUGCCCCAUCAGCUUUCGAUAGUAGUGUAUUGGACUACCAUGGCGUUUACGGGUAACGGAGGAUUAGGGUUCGAUUCCGGAGAGGGAGCCUGAGAAACGGCUACCACAUCUAAGGAAGGCAGCAGGCGCGUAAAUUACCCAAUCCUGACUCAGGGAGGUAGUGACAAGAAAUAACGGACCGGGGCCUUACGGCUUCGGGAUUGCAAUGAGCCGAAUUUACACCCCUUAGCGAAGAUCGAUUGGAGGGCAAGUCUGG
RNAcentral lists this ribosomal RNA (554 nucleotides) under uncultured eukaryote. RNAcentral describes it as "SSU rRNA". It matches the Rfam family "Eukaryotic small subunit ribosomal RNA", at positions 4 to 564 of the family's 1831-position model. The record is from RNAcentral.